AAUUUUCCAGCAAGCACCAUCCUCGAUCUCUCCUUCAACAAUCUAACAGGACCAAUCCCUGGUACACCACCAUUGCUUAACCAAAAGACUGAGUCCUUCUCUGGUAAUACAGGCUUGUGUGGGCAGCCAUUGAAAACUCCUUGUUCAAUCCCUUCUACUCUAUCAGACCCACAAAAUAUCUCUGAAACUACUUCACCAGCAAUAGCAGUAAUGCCCAGAACUCCAACACCAACAACUCCAUCAGUAGAAUCACCAAAUCAAACAACCAAAAGCAAACUAAAGCCAAGCACAAUCGUAGGCAUUACACUUGCAGAUAUAGCUGGUCUAGCUAUCAUAGCUAUGUUCAUCCUCUACAUAUACCAGCUCAAGAAACGUAGAAGCUCCAAAGAAUACAGCACUUUCAGCGUCUUACAAAAAUGACUGGAGAGAAACGAUACAUUACCAGUCAAGAAAUCGAAACAAAACACCAUAGUCGCCGCCUCAGAGAUCACCAAAUCUCCAGCUACAAAAACUGGAUGUGGCUCGUGGAUAAUUCGAAGGUACGACGAGACAACGUCUGCAUCAUCCGAGAGCGACGUAGAGAACCAGCUGCAAGACAAGAAACCCAUUGAGGCAUUUAAUCGAACAAGUGGUGGGCGUGAAAAAGGCAACACUGAAACAAAACUAGUGAUGGUCGAUGGAGAGACUCAGCUAGAGCUAGAUACUUUACUAAAGACAUCAGCUUACGUACUUGGUACAAGCCGAAGCGGGAUCGUGUACAAAGCCGUGUUAGAGAACGGCUCAGCUUUUGCGGUGCGGCGGAUCGGAGCGGAGUGUUGUACGGUGACGAAGUUUAAAGAAUUCGAAAAGGAGGUUCAGUGUAUCGCUAAACUUUGUCACCCAAAUCUCGUUAGGGUUCGUGGCUUCGUCUGGGGUAACGAAGAGAAGCUUCUCAUCUCCGACUAUGUCCCCAAUGGGAAUCUACCUCUCUCCUCCAUCUCCGCUAAAUCAGGCUCGUCUUCUCAGAACCCUCUCUCGUUUGAGGCACGGCUGAAGAUAGCAAAGGGCAUAGCUAGAGGAGUUGCUUAUAUACACGACAAGAAGCAUGUGCACGGCAACAUCAAGCCCAAUAAUAUUCUCUUGGACUCUGAGUUUGAGCCUGUAAUUACUGAUAUGGGCCUCGAUCGUCUUAUGACUCCGGCUGAUUCACUCACGGCUGGACCAAUGUCGAGCUCACAGCAUCAUCCACCAGAGUGGUCGAGUAGCCAGAAACCAAAUCCCAAAUGGGAUGUUUAUUCCUUUGGUGUGAUACUCUUUUAGCUUCUCACAGGCAAAGUUUUUUCGGUUGAUCGUGAUCUUGUUCGUGAUUAUGAGACCGAUGAGAAAACUUGGUUUUUGAGGUUGGUUGAUGGGACAAUUAGGGUUGAGGUGGCUCGCCGUGAAGAUGAGGCGGUCGCAUGCUUCAAGUUAGGCUAUGGUUGUGUCUCUUCCUUGCCUCAAAAGCGACCGUCUAUGAAGGAUGUGGUGCAAGUGCUAGAGAAAAUGUUUGUUUAAUUGUUUACUUUAUUCAAAUUUAGAAAGAUUGCAUAAAUUUUGUUGCAAUCAAAUGGAUCAUUUAAAUUGUUGUUUACUUUUUUUUUUUGAAUUUUUUUUUUUGAUAAACUAUCAUGUAUAAGUGAAAUCAUAAGUGCAAAUAUUGUCUCAUGAGAA
Non-coding RNA from Camelina sativa (false flax), 1689 nucleotides. The record is from RefSeq and is a predicted model, not a curated record. Lineage: Eukaryota; Viridiplantae; Streptophyta; Magnoliopsida; Brassicales; Brassicaceae.